This 373-nucleotide ribosomal RNA is filed under the name uncultured organism. RNAcentral's name for it is "partial 16S ribosomal RNA". It matches the Rfam family "Bacterial small subunit ribosomal RNA", at positions 527 to 896 of the family's 1533-position model. The record is from RNAcentral.
GUAGGUGGCAAGCGUUGUCCGGAAUUAUUGGGCGUAAAGCGCGCGCAGGGCGGUCCUUUAAGUCUGAUGUGAAAGCCCACGGCUCAACCGUGGAGGGUCAUUGGAAACUGGGGGACUUGAGUACAGAAGAGGAAAGCGGAAUUCCAAGUGUAGCGGUGAAAUGCGUAGAGAUUUGGAGGAACACCAGUGGCGAAGGCGGCUUUCUGGUCCGUAACUGACGCUGAGGCGCGAAAGCGUGGGGAGCAAACAGGAUUAGAUACCCUGGUAGUCCACGCCGUAAACGAUGAGUGCUAAGUGUUAGGGGGUUUCCGCCCCUUAGUGCUGCAGCUAACGCAUUAAGCACUCCGCCUGGGGAGUACGGCCGCAAAGGCUG